This 645-nucleotide ribosomal RNA is filed under the name fungal endophyte sp. B5-3211. Its description in RNAcentral is "eukaryotic LSU rRNA". The stretch from base 292 to 445 matches the Rfam family "5.8S ribosomal RNA". The record is from RNAcentral. Lineage: Eukaryota; Fungi.
GUGGAUAAGAGACCCGGAACACAUAGGACAUCUGAUAAAUUAAAAACCUCUGUUGUAUAAAAGUCGUAACAAGGUCUCCGUUGGUGAACCAUUGGAAGUAAAAAAUCGUAACAAGGUUUCCGUAGGUGAACCUGCGGAAGGAUCAUUACCGAGUGCGGGCCCUCUGGGUCCAACCUCCCAUCCGUGUCUAUCUGUACCCUGUUGCUUCGGCGUGGCUACGGCCCGCCGAAGACUAACAUUUGAACACUGUCUGAAGUUUGCAGUCUGAGUUUUUAGUUAAACAAUAAUUAAAACUUUCAACAACGGAUCUCUUGGUUCCGGCAUCGAUGAAGAACGCAGCGAAAUGCGAUAAUUAAUGUGAAUUGCAGAAUUCAGUGAAUCAUCGAGUCUUUGAACGCACAUUGCGCCCCCUGGUAUUCCGGGGGGCAUGCCUGUCCGAGCGUCAUUGCUGCCCUCAAGCACGGCUUGUGUGUUGGGCUUCCGUCCCUGGUAACGGGGACGGGCCCAAAAGGCAGUGGCGGCACCAUGUCUGGUCCUCGAGCGUAUGGGGCUUUGUCACCCGCUCCCGUAGGUCCAGCUGGCAGCUAGCCUCGCAACCAAUCUUUUUAACCAGGUUGACCUCGGAUCAGGUGGAAUGGCUCCCCG